CCUACGGGUGGCUGCAGUGGGGAAUAUUGGACAAUGGGGGCAACCCUGAUCCAGCCAUGCCGCGUGUGUGAAGAAGGCCCUCGGGUUGUAAAGCACUUUCAGUGAGGAAGAACGCCUGGUGGUUAAUACCCAUCAGGAAAGACAUCACUCACAGAAGAAGCACCGGCUAACUCCGUGCCAGCAGCCGCGGUAAUACGGAGGGUGCGAGCGUUAAUCGGAAUUACUGGGCGUAAAGCGCGCGUAGGUGGCUUGAUAAGCCGGUUGUGAAAGCCCCGGGCUCAACCUGGGAACGGCAACCGGAACUGUCAAGCUAGAGUGCAGGAGAGGAAGGUAGAAUUCCCGGUGUAGCGGUGAAAUGCGUAGAGAUCGGGAGGAAUACCAGUGGCGAAGGCGGCCUUCUGGACUGACACUGACACUGAGGUGCGAAAGCGUGGGUAGCAAACAGGAUUAGAUACCCCUGUAGUC
RNAcentral lists this ribosomal RNA (465 nucleotides) under Vreelandella stevensii. RNAcentral describes it as "partial 16S ribosomal RNA". It matches the Rfam family "Bacterial small subunit ribosomal RNA", at positions 338 to 795 of the family's 1533-position model. The record is from RNAcentral. Lineage: Bacteria; Pseudomonadati; Pseudomonadota; Gammaproteobacteria; Oceanospirillales; Halomonadaceae.